GAUGAACGCUGGCGGCGUGCCUAAUACAUGCAAGUCGAGCGAACGGACGAGAAGCUUGCUUCUCUGAUGUUAGCGGCGGACGGGUGAGUAACACGUGGAUAACCUACCUAUAAGACUGGGAUAACUUCGGGAAACCGUAGCUAAUACCGGAUAAUAUUUUGAACCGCAUGGUUCAAAAGUGAAAGACGGUCUUGCUGUCACUUAUAGAUGGAUCCGCGCUGCAUUAGCUAGUUGGUAAGGUAACGGCUUACCAAGGCAACGAUGCAUAGCCGACCUGAGAGGGUGAUCGGCCACACUGGAACUGAGACACGGUCCAGACUCCUACGGGAGGCAGCAGUAGGGAAUCUUCCGCAAUGGGCGAAAGCCUGACGGAGCAACGCCGCGUGAGUGAUGAAGGUCUUCGGAUCGUAAAACUCUGUUAUUAGGGAAGAACAUAUGUGUAAGUAACUGUGCACAUCUUGACGGUACCUAAUCAGAAAGCCACGGCUAACUACGUGCCAGCAGCCGCGGUAAUACGUAGGUGGCAAGCGUUAUCCGGAAUUAUUGGGCGUAAAGCGCGCGUAGGCGGUUUUUUAAGUCUGAUGUGAAAGCCCACGGCUCAACCGUGGAGGGUCAUUGGAAACUGGAAAACUUGAGUGCGGAAGAGGAAAGUGGAAUUCCGUGUGUAGCGGUGAAAUGCGCAGAGAUAUGGAGGAACACCAGUGGCGAAGGCGACUUUCUGGUCUGUAACUGACGCUGAUGUGCGAAAGCGUGGGGAUCAAACAGGAUUAGAUACCCUGGUAGUCCACGCCGUAAACGAUGAGUGCUAAGUGUUAGGGGGUUUCCGCCCCUUAGUGCUGCAGCUAACGCAUUAAGCACUCCGCCUGGGGAGUACGACCGCAAGGUUGAAACUCAAAGGAAUUGGCGGGGACCCGCACAAGCGGUGGAGCAUGUGGUUUAAUUCGAAGCAGCGCGAAGAACCUUACCAAAUCUUGACAUCCUUUGACAACUCUAGAGAUAGAGCCUUCCCCUUCGGGGGACAAAGUGACAGGUGGUGCAUGGUUGUCGUCAGCUCGUGUCGUGAGAUGUUGGGUUAAGUCCCGCAACGAGCGCAACCCUUAAGCUUAGUUGCCAUCAUUAAGUUGGGCACUCUAAGUUGACUGCCGGUGACAAACCGGAGGAAGGUGGGGAUGACGUCAAAUCAUCAUGCCCCUUAUGAUUUGGGCUACACACGUGCUACAAUGGACAAUACAAAGGGCAGCGAAACCGCGAGGUCAAGCAAAUCCCAUAAAGUUGUUCUCAGUUCGGAUUGUAGUCUGCAACUCGACUACAUGAAGCUGGAAUCGCUAGUAAUCGUAGAUCAGCAUGCUACGGUGAAUACGUUCCCGGGUCU
RNAcentral lists this ribosomal RNA (1372 nucleotides) under uncultured bacterium. RNAcentral's name for it is "bacterial SSU rRNA". It matches the Rfam family "Bacterial small subunit ribosomal RNA", at positions 28 to 1381 of the family's 1533-position model. The record is from RNAcentral.